AGGCUCGUGCUCAAAGAAGAACAAAGGCUUCGAGACGGAUCCCCCGAGCUGCAGCCGGUCGCCGGCCCUAGCAUGCGGCCCACUGUGAGGGGGCCCCCGUAUCCCGCUGCACGACGACGACAUUGCACCGGCGGUUGCCGCCAGGGAUGCUGCGAGGGGACGCGUCGUCGCCCGAGGCGGCAGGCGCGUCGUCUGCUGCCCUCGCAACGACGAGCCGCAGGCGCAGGGACGCAGCCGCCGCGGUCAGGACGCGCGGGGGCCGAGCCGCGUCGUCGCGCUGCAGCGACUCCGAAGAGGACGAGGAUGCGUGGUUGCGUGAGGACGACGGGUACGCGACGCCCCCGCGACUGCCGGGCCCGUCGUCGUCGUGUGACGUGUCGCGUGACGACUACGACGAGGACGACGAGGCGGGCCCCCAUCCUGCUCCGGCGCUUCCCCGCGAUCGACCGGCGGGAGCCGACGUGACGGGCGAGCGACGUCAGCGGCGCAUGCGUUGCUGCGAGCCGGUCGCGCCGAGCGCGGCCGCCGAUCGCCGCGGCGGCUCGUCGGGUCACGAGGCCGGGGCCGCUGCCGCCGCCGCCGCGGCUGGUCGCAGGGCCAUGCCGAGCGGCCUGAUGAAGCCGCUCGUGGUGCUCGCCUUCCCGGGCAUGUACCUCGUCUACAAGAUCACCGAGUUCAAGCGCCAGCAGCAGGAGCACAACCGGCGCAAGGUCACCGAGCGGGAGUUGGCGCACCUUAACCACAAGAUCGACAAGCUGCUCACGAAGCUGGAAGAGCAUGAGCCGGAGCUGGCUACGAGCCAAGAAGAAGAGUGCGUGGUCUGCGUGACGGCCAAGGCGAGCAUGCAGACAUUCCCGUGUGGCCACCGCGUCGUUUGCCGCAAGUGCUUCGUCAAGACCAUCCAGGUGGCCGUGUCGCAGCGCGUGCUGCCCCUGCGCUGCGUCAUUUGCCGCACCAAGAUCGUGCGCCUCAAGCACUCGUCGCACGGCCACGCUACACCUGUCACGCCGGGAGCACGGGCUCUGCUGGCACCUUGCGAAGCGCUGGGACAGACCCGGCCGGCCAACCCCUGGCCGCAGGACCUGCGCGUCCCCGUAGAGCCUCUUCCCGCCAGCCACUACCGGCACAGUGCCGAAGCGUGCCGCUUCCACAGGCACCGGAGCUCCUCCAGUGCCGGCACUUCCGCGCUAGCGUCGCCCGAGGCGGCCUCCUCGAGCACCAGCAUCUCCAUCGGCCGCCGCAUCUCCUCGCCGCAACCGACCAGUUCGGGGGCCUCGAGCCCAACGUCGAGCUGCCCCGCGAGCCCCGAGGACGCUCCCGAGGUGCCCAGAGGGCGCCGCAGCGGACUCACUCGGGCCGUCGUGCACCCGCCGCCCCCCGUUCGUUCGCCACCAACGCAGCCACCGAAGACCGCCUGCCCGCCACCGCCUUUGCCGGCGCGGAGCCCGAGGACCCCGGUUCCCGAAACUCCGAUCGGGACGCCAGAGAAAGAAGUGGCCGAGUCGAUGACGCCGCCACCGAAGACACCCGCCGCCGCGAAGACGAAGAGUCCGGUCGGAUCACCGAAAGAACGCUCCACUCCCGCGCCGACCAAGACGUCACCGGACCGGCCAGCUCCACCUAGGCUGCAACCUCCGCCGCCGGUCAGGUCACCGUCUUCGCCAACGGCGCCAUCGACGACGGCGAACAACACGGCGCUGUGCCCGGCAGCGUUGUCCAGCGUGGUGCUGGCCCCUCCUCCUGCCGAGGUACGCAGCCGCCGCGGUGGCCAGUACCGAGUGAGCCCGGCGGGCGGCGGCACGGCGCCGACGUCACUGCCGCUCACGGUGAGGCCGCCGCCGCCCAAGCCGCGGCCGCCGUCGCGCUUCGAGAGGUUCCGCGACAUGCACGUGCGGCGCCCCACGCUGCUGCUACCGAUCCCGGAGAAGGAAGAGUCCGAGGCGCUGCUCGAAGCGGCCUUCUGCCGCGUGGCGCCUGGUUCCUCCGACCUGCUUGUCAGCGCGUCGUCGCCCAAGAUCGUGCUCCAGGACCGAGCGCCUUUGCUCCAGCCGGAUUCACCGGACCGUCGCCGGACUUCGCUGCGCAGUCAGCUGCGUUCCAAGAUGGCGGGCUUCCCGAGUCUGCUGGGAUCGCCGCUGAGGGCGCUGCGAGCCGGCGCACGCCAUAGGCGCGUGCCAGACGUAAACUAGACGCCGGCUUCCUCCGACCAACGGAGGCUUGAUUGCCACGAGAGGAGGACCUCCGCGCGAAGGCCUCCCCUUCGCGACGGAGGUCCCCGAGGCCAGUCGCGGCCCCCCGACGACAGCACGGCGAGAGGCCUGCGACGACCCUUCAAAGUAACCCCGCGGCCCCCGCUCAACAAGAGCCGCCACUGUGAAGCAGCGGCCGAGACAAGACACCGAGGACCGGACGCACGGCCCGGAGCUGCCCGCGGGGUCCAGCGGACGCGCACAACGAAACCAAGGCGACGAUAACGACGCCUGCUGGCUGGCAGCGCCCGAGGCUGCCUCGUGACGAGAACGUGCCAAAGAGGGGCCUCCCCUCCCAACCCCCUGGUGUCUGUACAUAGGCAAUCUCUUCCCGUAGUCUUCCCACAGAGUCGUCCACCCGAGUUCAGUAUUGAGUGUCGUGCAGCCGAGGCCGCGGCGGCCAUACCGCGCCAGUGCCAUGCCGCUUAGGAGGGAGGAAGGAGCGGCAUCGUACGCUCACAUUUGGCGCGCUCCGUCGUGCAUGUUGUCACGGUGGUCAGACUACGCGUCACUGAACGGAUAUAAAGUCAAAGAGGCAAAAUUGCCGAGCCGGUCGAGGUGGUUCUUCACUCAAGAAGCAGGACGUAGUGGCUUGCCACGCUUUUAUGCUGAAGGGAGGUACCGCGAAAGUACCAGUAGUGCGCCGACGUAGCCGCUGGAAGGCAUUAUAUAAGAGCUAGUGUUGUAUAAGAGCCGGAAUCGCGUAGUAUUUGCCAAGACAUCCUGUGUAGCCUAAUACUGAUGGCUCACAGCGUGCGACAGCACAGGGCGAAACGAGUGUUGUCACUACGCUCCAUAAGACAGCAGGUUUUCCACAAGCCUCGGAUAUUAUUUUAAAUGGAAGGCUUAUUGCCUAUUCCCAGGACACUCAUCCAAAGAGAAAUACAGAUAGAAAGAUUUGUCAGGUUCGGCGCUGCAUACACUGUUCCAACGCAUGUUAAUGUUUGCAUUCUCCUGGAGCUAUUUCAAUCGCCGCAUUCGUUCGCCCAAACUUUCACUGCAGGAAAGAAAAGAAAGAAAAUGAACUGCCAGAGUCGACUGCGCCGAUAAACGAUUUACGAAGCUGCGCUAAUUGUUGCUGGCUGUUCAACGUAGUAACUUCUAUGAUGAAAGAAAAGCACUACAUGACGGAGCAAGCUUCCUUUGAGCUUUCUGUCUGCUCCUCCCUCUCUGUCUCUGCGUACUUCUUGGCUACGACGCCCGGAGAGAGAUCUCUCAACGAACGUACACCGUCUAAAUGGCAACGUCUCCGAAGCUGCAGGUUUGUUGAAACAGCAGCGGUUAUCCGCAAACACGUACGGCCAGCUUUGUGCCGGCAGUCGGCGGAGCCGUGUUGGGAUCAGCGGUGUGGCGUCACUUGGCAGCAGUGCCAGCGUAUUGGAAGGGCGUGUUACAAGGAGGUCAUCUCAUGGUCCACAUAGAGAAUGCAGCCACGCGUAGCGGGGAUGUUGCCGCGCGUUUCUCGAAAGACGUCCAGUGCCUGCGUCACGGCCGUUGAACAGGGUGCAGAAGCACAUCAACCGGUAGAUAGCUUGUUUCCGUUGACUCAGAUUCCUUUGCUACCAACGGAAGGAAAGUCUUUCGUUGCUUUCAGGCCGGCCACUCUCACAUGUCGUAGCCCCUUCAGUAUUGAGGUUUGCUGUGAUCAAGACAAGUAUCAGCCAUAAAUAGUCAGGCUCGUUUACCUCGAGUUGUACUACCGGAAAAGUUUUGGUAUCUACAAGGGCGCACUAGGAGCGAUUGAGCGAGUAUAUAAGGGACGCUGCUCAGACACAGGACCUUGCGGUGACAAGGAGACAGCUGAGACAAUGACAGAACGGGCGGCAUGUCCUGCUUCGCGUGUCAGCUGCGCCGACUCGAAACUGCCCGUUCAAAGAAACCCUAAAUCAGGGGUCUGGUUGUAGGUGGCAUAGUAGCGAGCUCAACGUAUUAAUUUCUUUUUCUUUCACGUUGGGCCAGUGUCGACCACCCUCCGAUAUGCAGGCGCGGCCGCCGCGGACCUCGGUGCAGUCGGUGUGCCUUAGGCCAGUGCUCCGCCGUCGGAGUCUCCACGCUCUUCAGGACUUCUGAAGACACGUCCGCGUUGAGUCCUCUUCCAAGGCUGUCAUGUUCAUUCGGUCACCGCGCCGCGCUGGGGCGACAGUGACACCGUCUGCGUGCUUUUAAGCGCAACGUCGCACACGUCGACUGACGCUUACAGUUUGUCAAGCAUCGCGUGAUCAGUCUGUACGAGUUGUCGGUUCACUUGCGUGACGGCACGAUUGAAAGCUCAAAGGCUUCGUGUUAUCUACGUGGUUUGGGUUGGAGUCGGGCCCAGCAUAAUUGCUCCGAAGAAGACUUGACAGUCAGGCGCAGCCUGUGAAAGGCGUACCUCCUGUAUCUCGUUGCCCUAUAAGCUGCUUCUAGACGGUUGACUAUAUAUAAAUAGUAUCGCAAUUUAGAGUCGACGUGUAUUUUAACGAUACGAAACUAACCGGCGUACUCGCUGGGAACUGUUGUUACUGGUGAAGAGCUGCUAAAGGAACAAAGGUGUUGAGAAUGAAACUACCACGGGUGUAGUCGCUAUUUGCGCCAGAGGGCACCGUGAAACUGGUUCUGCAUGGGAGGAAACUAUAGGCAGCUAGUGGUAAUAGUCUGAUGGUGAAGUUUCGAUUUGUCUUCAGUGGUGGAUUGAACCGGCAGGGAUAAUGACAGUCUCGAAUUAACGCGGGCAUCCGCUUUUCAGCACGUCAUAGCAUUAAAGCUAUGCUACGUUCUUGGGUAUAGGGAAAAAAAAGAAAAGACAGAUGACAGAACCACAUCAGAAAUUUGACUGGGUGCAAUAUUCGUCGAUCCCGAGCUCUCAAUACCGAGCCAUGUGUGUCCUGCUCCGUUUUGAGCAGCGGGCAUACUCUCAAGCAGGGGAAACGCACCGGGCGCGUGCCGAGCGAGGAAUCCGCUCUCAACGUGACAUCUCCACGAGUGCAUGAAGUUGCGUGGAGCCUGGAUGAGCAGAAUGUAGCAUAAGAUAACGAUAAAAACUGGGCGGCAAGGAAGCAUUCCGAACUAUAAUUUUGCAUUUUAAAUGGAAACAGCGUUAAGACAAGCGCCCUCAACCAGGAUAACACGUUGUCCUAAAGCAGUGCAUUUACAGAAAGUACACUGCGUUCUAGGCGUUCGUCUUGCUGUUUUCGAUGGCCCACAAAUGGAGUUCCACGUUUCCCAAGGGCAGUUGAAUUAUAUAGGACGUCGCAAUGGGCAAGAAGUAGCAUUUUUUUAAAUCAGCAUAGUACAACUUUCUCUGAACUGCCACACACAGUAUGUACGAGUCGCGCGUGCUGUUUUUCACGCCGACCUGUACAGCGUUUUCCUAUCAGGAGCGAUUCAUUCCCGAAGACCCGCUCGAAGGCACACUUCGGUGCAUGCGUACACACGAACAUCGACGCGUUCCCGCAAUUAUUCUAAGCCACUGGUGAUUCACUGCACGGUCGCACUCGAUUCCGCAUUUAUCACGCUUUCUUCUUCUUUCGCAUGAUUACGGCGUACCUUCGCGUUUAAUACUAAAUCUUCCAUCAUCAGUUCCACCAUCAGUUAAAGGAAUGCAGCCUCAAACAUUUUUCCAUAUUAAUUACUGCUCCCUUACAAAACAAUACUACCGCAUAUUCCCGAGUCAUCGCCCACCCCAACAACGCCUAUAAAUCGCACGAGAAAGUGGAGUUUGGUGGUGUCUCGGCGUCUCAGCACAAACACUUAAUGGUCUCAGCACAAACAGUUAAUGAACUGAACAGAGAGUAAUACAGGGCAUGACUAACACUUGACUAACAGUCAUGUCCCUUGCUUCGUAACUAUAUAUCGUUUCACCGAGGAAUUUUCGUGAUGCGUGGUCAUAUCGGAGAGUACUACAGCUUGCUUCGGAGAACUCACGGUUUUUCAAGCGCUGCUUAUGCAGAGUCAUUUGCGAAUGCCACUGGCCCAUCCAGCUCGCAUUUACCGUAUGCAUGCAUUCACGUGGGGUGUGCACAGGUAAACAACAGCCAAAUUUCCGUAUAACCCAGUGAAUGCAGUAGCUUCAAUGUUCAGGAAUGGGCAAUCUCUCAGUCUACUUCACGAAAAUGGUAUUCUCCGCAGAUAAAGGAGAUGAAUGAUCUCUGUAAGUGGGCGAUGACUCGGAAUGUGCACGGUAAUUUAUUGAUAAACAAAAGAGGAAAAAAAAGCACACAACCCUCGCUUCUCUGUUCUUGCGCCUUCGGCUUCAACUGCGCAAACGUACGUGCGCCUAAGCUAAGCCUAACUAUGUACAAUUCACGAUCAUCUUCCCCUGUUAUGUAUAACGCUGUGGUAGACACCGUGAACCAUAAGCAGUGUGCAUUUAUUACGACGUUAAGCUCCUAUAGAUUUCAGAUCAGAACGGGGACGAUCAGUCUCGCUCCAGUGUCUGCGAUGUGCUGGGCUUGCUCAUCAGCGCGGUGCGGGUGACCCUUGGGAGCGCAGGCGACCGACGAGCGUGGAAACUCUGACGGUCUCUUUCUUCGCGGAGCGUACAGAGAUGCUAUAUACACUCACUACACACUGUUAUUCGACGGGGGCAAAUAAAGGAUGUUAGAGAA
RNA transcript from Dermacentor silvarum, 6835 nucleotides. It is a transcript of the gene named nascent polypeptide-associated complex subunit alpha, muscle-specific form, with no coding region annotated. NCBI's taxonomy places the organism in Eukaryota, Metazoa, Arthropoda, Arachnida, Ixodida, Ixodidae. The record is from RefSeq and is a predicted model, not a curated record. The transcript is spliced from 4 exons.